UAUUGUUUUAGAUAUUAAAUAUUACGUAGUAUAGUAAUUGGUAAAUAUGUUUUUAGGGGUGAUAGGCUUUUCAAAUUUGUUGAUAACUUGAUACACAAUAAAAUUAUUAAGUAUUAAGUCAUUCUAUGAAAGUUAAGUUUUAUAGACGUAAUUAAUUUAGAAAAAUGAGGUUAUUAUAGUUUAAUAGCUAAUUAAUAAUAAUAUAAAUAUUUUUUUCUUAUUUUUAUUUAAUGUAUUGUGUUAUUUUUACUUAAGUAUAUAUUAAUAAUGUUAAUAUAAGUAAUAUUUAUAAAUAAUUUUAAAGAACUCGGCAAACAUAUUUUUCAACUGUUUAUCAAAAACAUAACUAUAUGAUUUUAUAUAUAGCUGUUCCUGCUCAAUGAUUUUAAAUAGCCGCAGUACCCUGACUGUGCAAAGGUAGCAUAAUCAGUUGGCUUUUAAUUGGAGUCUAGAAUGAAUGGAUUUUUGGAAAAUAACUUUCUGUUUUUUAUUUUUUGGAAAUUAGUUUGUAAGUGAAAAUACUUACAUAUACAUAAAGGACGAGAAGACCCUAGAAAUUUAAAUAUAAUUUUGUUGGGGCGACAGAAUUACAAAAAACUAAUUUGUUUAACAUGACGUUUUUACAGGUCGAUUAAAUUACUCUAGGGAUAACAGCAUAAUUUUAACAGUUUGUGACCUCGAUGUUGGAUUAGGAUAUUAAAUGGUCUAGAAGAUCUUUAAUAAGGCUCUGUUCGAGCU
RNAcentral lists this ribosomal RNA (738 nucleotides) under Theba geminata. RNAcentral's name for it is "partial 16S ribosomal RNA". Lineage: Eukaryota; Metazoa; Mollusca; Gastropoda; Stylommatophora; Helicidae. The record is from RNAcentral.